RNAcentral lists this ribosomal RNA (405 nucleotides) under uncultured prokaryote. RNAcentral's name for it is "bacterial SSU rRNA". It matches the Rfam family "Bacterial small subunit ribosomal RNA", at positions 355 to 774 of the family's 1533-position model. The record is from RNAcentral.
UGGGGAAUAUUAGGCAAUGGGCGCAAGCCUGACCCAGCAACGCCGCGUGAGGGAAGAAUGUCUUCGGAUUGUAAACCUCUGUCCUUGGGGGCGAAAAAAAUGACGGUACCCAAGGAGGAAGCUCCGGCUAACUACGUGCCAGCAGCCGCGGUAAUACGUAGGGAGCAAGCGUUGUCCGGAAUUACUGGGCGUAAAGGGUGCGUAGGCGGCGUGGCAAGUCAGAUGUGAAAUCCCCGGGCUUAACUCGGGUGGUGCAUUUGAAACUGCUGUGCUUGAGUGCAGGAGAGGAAAGCGGAAUUCCUAGUGUAGCGGUGAAAUGCGUAGAUAUUAGGAGGAACACCAGUGGCGAAGGUGGCUUUUUGGACUGUAACUGACCCUGAGGCACGAAAGCGUGGGGAGCAAACA